UGUUGACCGAAUCUCAAUAUUUCCAGAAUGUUAUGCGCGUUGGUUUCCGGCUGAGAUCAACUUUGGUGGCUGCUAUAUUUAGAAAAUCAUUACGAUUGACUCAUGAGAGUCGCAAGAGUUUCUCUACAGGAAAGAUAACAAAUAUGAUUACCACAGAUGCUAAUUCACUUCAGGUAAA
Molecule: long non-coding RNA, 178 nt
Organism: Humulus lupulus (European hop)
Lineage: Eukaryota; Viridiplantae; Streptophyta; Magnoliopsida; Rosales; Cannabaceae
Exons: 2
Source: RefSeq, a predicted model, not a curated record